Molecule: ribosomal RNA, 588 nt
Filed under: Escherichia coli
Lineage: Bacteria; Pseudomonadati; Pseudomonadota; Gammaproteobacteria; Enterobacterales; Enterobacteriaceae
Description: partial 23S ribosomal RNA
Rfam family: Bacterial large subunit ribosomal RNA
Source: RNAcentral
GACAGCCAGGAUGUUGGCUUAGAAGCAGCCAUCAUUUAAAGAAAGCGUAAUAGCUCACUGGUCGAGUCGGCCUGCGCGGAAGAUGUAACGGGGCUAAACCAUGCACCGAAGCUGCGGCAGCGACGCUGAUGCGUUGUUGGGUAGGGGAGCGUUCUGUAAGCCUGCGAAGGUGUGCUGUGAGGCAUGCUGGAGGUAUCAGAAGUGCGAAUGCUGACAUAAGUAACGAUAAAGCGGGUGAAAAGCCCGCUCGCCGGAAGACCAAGGGUUCCUGUCCAACGUUAAUCGGGGCAGGGUGAGUCGACCCCUAAGGCGAGGCCGAAAGGCGUAGUCGAUGGGAAACAGGUUAAUAUUCCUGUACUUGGUGUUACUGCGAAGGGGGGACGGAGAAGGCUAUGUUGGCCGGGCGACGGUUGUCCCGGUUUAAGCGUGUAGGCUGGUUUUCCAGGCAAAUCCGGAAAAUCAAGGCUGAGGCGUGAUGACGAGGCACUACGGUGCUGAAGCAACAAAUGCCCUGCUUCCAGGAAAAGCCUCUAAGCAUCAGGUAACAUCAAAUCGUACCCCAAACCGACACAGGUGGUCAGGUAGAGA